UACGUAGGAGACGAGCGUUGUCCGGAGUUACUGGGCGUAAAGGGUGCGCAGGCGGCCUGGCGCGUCGCGAGUGAAAUCUCCUGGCUCAACUGGGAGGGUGGUCGCGAGACGGCUGGGCUUGAGGCUCGGUGAGGGGCGUGGAAUUCCGGGUGGAGCGGUGAAAUGCGUAGAGAUCCGGAGGAACACCGACGGCGUAGGCAGCGCCCUAGACGAGACGACGCUCAGGCACGAAAGCGCGGGGAGCGAACAGG
This 251-nucleotide ribosomal RNA is filed under the name uncultured bacterium. RNAcentral describes it as "partial 16S ribosomal RNA". It matches the Rfam family "Bacterial small subunit ribosomal RNA", at positions 524 to 776 of the family's 1533-position model. The record is from RNAcentral.